This 128-nucleotide transfer RNA is filed under the name Candidatus Woesearchaeota archaeon. Its description in RNAcentral is "tRNA-Ala". The record is from RNAcentral. Lineage: Archaea; Nanobdellati; Candidatus Woesearchaeota.
GGGCCGGUAGUUCAACCUGGUAGAAUACGCCCUUGGCUAGGGUGAGAUUCCGGAUUCAAACAUUUCCCCUCAGGAAGAAUGAGCAUUCUCAUGGGCCUGUGGUGAAGAGGAAAGUUCCGGCCGGUCCA